CCGAAAACCACGAGGAAGAGACGUAGUGUUCUUUCCUGAGCGUGAAGCCGGCAUUUGGUGUUGCUUUACUGCAACCGCCGUUUGCCAUUGAUGAUCGUUCUUCUCUCCUUUUUUGGGGAGUAAGAGGGAAAGAACACGGUCUGAGUGG
This 148-nucleotide small nucleolar RNA is filed under the name Macaca mulatta (Rhesus monkey). Its description in RNAcentral is "C/D box U3a snoRNA". It matches the Rfam family "Small nucleolar RNA U3", at positions 70 to 219 of the family's 219-position model. From Rfam's summary of the family: Small nucleolar RNAs (snoRNAs) are involved in the processing and modification of rRNA in the nucleolus. There are two main classes of snoRNAs: the box C/D class, and the box H/ACA class. U3 snoRNA is a member of the box C/D class. The record is from RNAcentral. Lineage: Eukaryota; Metazoa; Chordata; Mammalia; Primates; Cercopithecidae.